Molecule: ribosomal RNA, 253 nt
Filed under: uncultured bacterium
Lineage: Bacteria
Description: partial 16S ribosomal RNA
Rfam family: Bacterial small subunit ribosomal RNA
Source: RNAcentral
UACGGAGGGAGCUAGCGUUGUUCGGAAUUACUGGGCGUAAAGCGCACGUAGGCGGCUACUCAAGUCAGAGGUGAAAGCCCGGGGCUCAACCCCGGAACUGCCUUUGAAACUAGGUAGCUAGAAUCCUGGAGAGGUCAGUGGAAUUCCGAGUGUAGAGGUGAAAUUCGUAGAUAUUCGGAAGAACACCAGUGGCGAAGGCGACUGACUGGACAGGUAUUGACGCUGAGGUGCGAAAGCGUGGGGAGCAAACGGG